ACACAUGCAAGUCGAGGGGCAGCACGGUGUAGCAAUACACUGGUGGCGACCGGCGCACGGGUGCGUAACGCGUAUGCAACCUACCCAUAACAGGGGGAUAACACUGAGAAAUUGGUACUAAUACCCCAUAACAUCAGGACCGGCAUCGGUUCUGGUUGAAAACUCCGGUGGUUAUGGAUGGGCAUGCGUUGUAUUAGCUGGUUGGUGAGGUAACGGCUCACCAAGGCAACGAUACAUAGGGGGACUGAGAGGUUAACCCCCCACAUUGGUACUGAGACACGGACCAAACUCCUACGGGAGGCAGCAGUGAGGAAUAUUGGUCAAUGGACGCAAGUCUGAACCAGCCAUGCCGCGUGCAGGAAGACGGCUCUAUGAGUUGUAAACUGCUUUUGUACGAGGGUAAACGCUCUUACGUGUAAGAGCCUGAAAGUAUCGUACGAAUAAGGAUCGGCUAACUCCGUGCCAGCAGCCGCGGUAAUACGGAGGAUCCAAGCGUUAUCCGGAUUUAUUGGGUUUAAAGGGUGCGUAGGCGGUUUGAUAAGUUAGAGGUGAAAUACCGGUGCUUAACACCGGAACUGCCUCUAAUACUGUUGAACUAGAGAGUAGUUGCGGUAGGCGGAAUGUAUGGUGUAGCGGUGAAAUGCUUAGAGAUCAUACAGAACACCGAUUGCGAAGGCAGCUUACCAAACUAUAUCUGACGUUGAGGCACGAAAGCGUGGGGAGCAAACAGGAUUAGAUACCCUGGUAGUCCACGCAGUAAACGAUGAUAACUCGCUGUCGGCGAUACACAGUCGGCGGCUAAGCGAAAGCGAUAAGUUAUCCACCUGGGGAGUACGUUCGCAAGAAUGAAACUCAAAGGAAUUGACGGGGGCCCGCACAAGCGG
This 884-nucleotide ribosomal RNA is filed under the name uncultured bacterium. Its description in RNAcentral is "bacterial SSU rRNA". It matches the Rfam family "Bacterial small subunit ribosomal RNA", at positions 51 to 932 of the family's 1533-position model. The record is from RNAcentral.